RNAcentral lists this transfer RNA (75 nucleotides) under Pseudomonadota bacterium. RNAcentral's name for it is "tRNA-His". It matches the Rfam family "tRNA". Rfam says of the family: Transfer RNA (tRNA) molecules are approximately 80 nucleotides in length. Their secondary structure includes four short double-helical elements and three loops (D, anti-codon, and T loops). Lineage: Bacteria; Pseudomonadati; Pseudomonadota. RNAcentral also lists the same sequence under 1 other name. The record is from RNAcentral.
GUGGCCGUAGCUCAAAGGUAGAGCACCAGACUGUGGCUCUGGGGGCUGCGGGUUCGAGUCCCGUCGGCCACCCCA